GGAAGUGUAUGCCAAAGGCUGCCUCUGGAAGAUUGGCUGAGGCUUCUGAAAAAAAGGCCUGUAUCCUCAUGAACAGACAGUGGCUAUGUGGGACUGCUGACAUAGAUGGGAUGUCAUGGGAGCGAUGUCACACUUGACGUAGCCCUUCAGCCCAGCUGAGAUGUCAUCUGGGUCUGACAGGAUAGCCCACUUGUGAUGGAACUGGUGUUCUGCAGAUGGAGAAAACCUAGGGGACAUGGUCAACCUACCUCACCGUGCCAGAAUCACGUAAUCUUCGCUGUUCAUCUGAAGACAAUCUCUACGGUAUUGCUGGGAGCUGUAGUUGACCCCUCUAAACUCAUCCUAUAUCCCUGGAGUGUCUCAAAGGCCCUGAAGACCAAUGCUUCCAAUACUUUUCCACUCUUCCUUAAUGUUAGUGCCU
RNAcentral lists this long non-coding RNA (421 nucleotides) under Vombatus ursinus (common wombat). Its description in RNAcentral is "lncRNA (ENSVURG00010000112.1)". The record is from RNAcentral. Lineage: Eukaryota; Metazoa; Chordata; Mammalia; Diprotodontia; Vombatidae.